Lycium barbarum (goji berry) is the source of this 741-nucleotide long non-coding RNA. RefSeq lists it as uncharacterized. NCBI's taxonomy places the organism in Eukaryota, Viridiplantae, Streptophyta, Magnoliopsida, Solanales, Solanaceae. The transcript is spliced from 2 exons. The record is from RefSeq and is a predicted model, not a curated record.
GUGGUGUUUGGGUAUCAACUUAAAAUGCCAAAUUUAAGUCAGAAAGUUCUUAAAGUCACCCAAAAAUGAAAAGUUGGAAAUCCUAAUUUUUUUUUUGGAUGGCUUAAAGCCAGUUUCGUUGACCAUGAAAAUUAUUUUUAUAUCCCUUAUAUUUUAUUUUAAUUCCCAAAAUGCCCUCACAGCUAAAGCCCUAAAAUUCACCCUCAUUUUUUCAUCAACAACGCAGCCUCCACAUCUCUGUUCAUCAUCAUCUACAACAACGCAUCAUCAUCAUCCACGAUCUCUGUUCCUAAAAAAGCUUCAUCUGAUUACUUUGCUUGGAUUGCUAAACAGAUUUUCAAUCUUGGUGACUAUUUGAAAAUGUAGUAGAGCGCACAUUUGGCGUUUGGAAAGCAAGAUGGUCUAUUUUGAGAGACAUGCCAUACUAUCACAUUGACACACAAAGGGACAUCGUGCUUGCUACUAUGGCCAUUCACAAUUAUAUUAGAAAGAAAUGCAAUGUGGAUGAUGCAUUCCAAACAGCCGAGAAUGAGAGCUAUAUUCCAUUGGUUGAUUCUAAUGAUAUUGGCACAACUUCAAGAGCUAACAAUGUAGAUGUCGAAGAUGUAGGAGAACAAAAUGAUGUCUAUUGGAUGGGGUUUCGUGAUAUGAUUGCUAGUGACAUUUGUAAUGCUUGAUGCUUGUAUUAUAUGAAUAUUUUCCACUUCUUGUAUUUAUAGUGUAGUGUUUUCGGUUGUAUUA